This 221-nucleotide unclassified non-coding RNA is filed under the name Hevea brasiliensis (rubber tree). Lineage: Eukaryota; Viridiplantae; Streptophyta; Magnoliopsida; Malpighiales; Euphorbiaceae. The record is from RNAcentral.
AAUUGCAGUGUCCAUAACAAAAGUAAACCACAUCUCAUUGACUCUAGCCCUGAACUCAAAGGGAGAGUUGUAUUGUGCAACUGUAUAAAUCGUACUAUUAUCUUUACUCCUGCUUUUUUCGAUAGCUGCUGCCCAUUUAGUGUCAGCGAUGCUGGCAGUAAGGGCAGCAGCUUGUUUCGGAAUAUCACCAUCCGUAACAAAUCCACUGAAUUGCCUGACCG